Molecule: transfer RNA, 77 nt
Filed under: Tissierellia bacterium
Lineage: Bacteria; Bacillati; Bacillota; Tissierellia
Description: tRNA-Pro
Rfam family: tRNA
About the family: Transfer RNA (tRNA) molecules are approximately 80 nucleotides in length. Their secondary structure includes four short double-helical elements and three loops (D, anti-codon, and T loops).
Source: RNAcentral
CGGGAUGUGGCGCAGUCUGGUAGCGCACAAGUCUGGGGGACUUGGGGUCGCUGGUUCAAAUCCAGUCAUCCCGACCA